Molecule: long non-coding RNA, 627 nt
Organism: Canis lupus familiaris (dog)
Lineage: Eukaryota; Metazoa; Chordata; Mammalia; Carnivora; Canidae
Exons: 3
Source: RefSeq, a predicted model, not a curated record
UCCUUGUGUGCAAACGUGGGCACUGUGCCCUCUAGUGACAGCCGUCUAAUCUGCAGUACAAGAUGAGUUGGAACAGGGAACCUACUAGGAUGUUCCUUCCUUUCAGCCUUCCUUAUCUUUCCGUCAGGAAUCUUUUACAAAAGCGCCUAUGAUCUCAUGGACCUGGAAACACCAAUCAGCAGCGUCUUCUCAGUUGCUGAGAAACUGUACCCAAGACCAUCCUCCUACCAAGACUCACCAUCUCUCAUGCCAACUUAGGGAUUCUUUUAGGUUUAGGGAAAAAUCUUCUCUGUUAUGUUUAUCUCAGUUUUUCUAUGCCUUUUUAUUCCUUUUAUUCUUUAUUUCUUGACAUAUACUAAAAGAUUACUUGUGAGGUACCUAGAAAAGAACCUGACACAGAGUAAGCACCCAACAAGGAAGGAUGAUACUCUUUCAUUUUCAUUUAUCCAGCACUAAAUGGGACUCCUAAACAGGAAUAGAGUCUACAUUCUGCUAGAGGGAACAGCGUGGAAUACAUUUUAACUUCAGUGUUCGGAUGCAGAAAAGAAAAAUCCAUGUUGCUUCAGUUAAGCUCACUGGUGAAAAGGGAAAUGAAGAAGAAUAAACUCCAGUAAUUUUAACCCUUCA